RNAcentral lists this signal recognition particle RNA (299 nucleotides) under Cebus imitator (Panamanian white-faced capuchin). RNAcentral describes it as "Metazoan signal recognition particle RNA (ENSCCAG00000008499.1)". It matches the Rfam family "Metazoan signal recognition particle RNA". From Rfam's summary of the family: The signal recognition particle (SRP) is a universally conserved ribonucleoprotein. Lineage: Eukaryota; Metazoa; Chordata; Mammalia; Primates; Cebidae. The record is from RNAcentral.
ACCGGGCAAGGUGGCGCGCGCCUGUCGUCCCAGCUACCCUGGAGGCUGAGGUGGGAGGAUAGCUUGAGUCCAGGAGUUCUGGGCUGUAGUGCGCUAUGCUGAUUGGGUGUCCGCACUAAGUUCGGCAUCAGUAUGGUGAACUCCUGGGAGCAGGGGACCACCAGGUUGCCUAAGGAGGGGUGAACUGGCCCACCUCAGAAACAGAGCAGGUCAAAACUCCUGUGCUGAUCAGUAGUGGGAUCAUGCCUAUGAAUAGCCACUGUACUCCAGCCUGGGCAACAUAGCGAGACCCCGUCUCU